This 734-nucleotide ribosomal RNA is filed under the name Rothia aeria. RNAcentral's name for it is "bacterial SSU rRNA". It matches the Rfam family "Bacterial small subunit ribosomal RNA", at positions 44 to 786 of the family's 1533-position model. The record is from RNAcentral. Lineage: Bacteria; Bacillati; Actinomycetota; Actinomycetes; Micrococcales; Micrococcaceae.
GUGCUUAACACAUGCAAGUCGAACGAUGAAGCGGUGCUUGCACCGUGGAUUAGUGGCGAACGGGUGAGUAAUACGUGAGUGACCUACCUUUGACUCUGGGAUAAGCCUGGGAAACUGGGUCUAAUACCGGAUACGACCAAUCUCUGCAUGGGGUGUUGGUGGAAAGCGUUAUGGAGUGGUUUUAGAUGGGCUCACGGCCUAUCAGCUUGUUGGUGAGGUAAUGGCUUACCAAGGCGACGACGGGUAGCCGGCCUGAGAGGGUGACCGGCCACACUGGGACUGAGACACGGCCCAGACUCCUACGGGAGGCAGCAGUGGGGAAUAUUGCACAAUGGGCGCAAGCCUGAUGCAGCGACGCCGCGUGAGGGAUGACGGCCUUCGGGUUGUAAACCUCUGUUAGCAUCGAAGAAGCGAAAGUGACGGUAGGUGCAGAGAAAGCGCCGGCUAACUACGUGCCAGCAGCCGCGGUAAUACGUAGGGCGCGAGCGUUGUCCGGAAUUAUUGGGCGUAAAGAGCUUGUAGGCGGUUGGUCGCGUCUGCUGUGAAAGGCCGGGGCUUAACUCCGGUUUUGCAGUGGGUACGGGCUAACUAGAGUGCAGUAGGGGAGACUGGAAUUCCUGGUGUAGCGGUGGAAUGCACAGAUAUCAGGAGGAACACCGAUGGCGAAGGCAGGUCUCUGGGCUGUAACUGACGCUGAGAAGCGAAAGCAUGGGGAGCGAACAGGAUUAGAUACC